AUUGAACGCUGGCGGCAUGCUUUACACAUGCGAGUCGAACGGCAGCGCGGGCUUCGGCCUGGCGGCGAGUGGCGAACGGGUGAGUAAUACAUCGGAACGUGCCCAGUAGUGGGGGAUAGCUCGGCGAAAGCCGGAUUAAUACCGCAUACGACCUGAGGGUGAAAGCGGGGGAUCUUCGGACCUCGCGCUAUUGGAGCGGCCGAUGGCAGAUUAGCUAGUUGGUGGGGUAAAGGCCUACCAAGGCGACGAUCUGUAGCUGGUCUGAGAGGACGACCAGCCACACUGGGGCUGAGACGCGGCCCAGACUCCUACGGGAGGCAGCAGUGGGGAAUUUUGGACAAUGGGCGAAAGCCUGAUCCAGCAAUGCCGCGUGUGUGAUGAAGGCCUUCGGGUUGUAAAGCACUUUUGGCGGGAACGAAAAGGACUGUGCCAAUACCACGGUUCGAUGACGGUACCCGCAGAAUAAGCACCGGCUAACUACGU
This 483-nucleotide ribosomal RNA is filed under the name uncultured bacterium. Its description in RNAcentral is "partial 16S ribosomal RNA". It matches the Rfam family "Bacterial small subunit ribosomal RNA", at positions 29 to 506 of the family's 1533-position model. The record is from RNAcentral.